This 364-nucleotide ribosomal RNA is filed under the name uncultured Thermovirga sp. Its description in RNAcentral is "bacterial SSU rRNA". It matches the Rfam family "Bacterial small subunit ribosomal RNA", at positions 1018 to 1382 of the family's 1533-position model. Lineage: Bacteria; Thermotogati; Synergistota; Synergistia; Synergistales; Thermovirgaceae. The record is from RNAcentral.
CGGAUGUGGAGCGUACACAGGUGCUGCAUGGCUGUCGUCAGCUCGUGUCGUGAGAUGUUGGGUUUAAGUCCCGCAACGAGCGCAACCCCUGCAUUCAGUUGCCAACGGUAAGGCCGGGCACUCUGGAUGGACUGCCGGCGACAAGCCGGAGGAAGUGGGAUGACGUCAAGUCAUCAUGGCCCUUAUGUCCAGGGCGACACACGUGCUACAAUGGCCGGCACAGCGGGAAGCGAGGGGGCGACCUUGAGCGGAUCCCUCAAAGCCGGUCUCAGUUCGGAUUGCAGUCUGCAACUCGACUGCAUGAAGUUGGAAUCGCUAGUAAUCGUGGAUCAGCCAAGCCGCGGUGAAUACGUUCCCGGGCCUU